UUUGAUGAGAUGAGCUGCAACACUUGACAAGAUCUGACCGAUGAAUUGCUUGUUUAGUGGAAUAUUCUUCUACGCUUGUCUUGUGAGCUUU
Molecule: non-coding RNA, 91 nt
Organism: Hordeum vulgare subsp. vulgare (domesticated barley)
Lineage: Eukaryota; Viridiplantae; Streptophyta; Magnoliopsida; Poales; Poaceae
Source: Rfam